RNAcentral lists this long non-coding RNA (1231 nucleotides) under Mus musculus (house mouse). RNAcentral's name for it is "long non-coding RNA chr6:68254368-68255599". Lineage: Eukaryota; Metazoa; Chordata; Mammalia; Rodentia; Muridae. The record is from RNAcentral.
UAUAGACAAGAGCAAUUGUGUAACUCUCUCAUCUUAAAUAAAGCUCUUUUCACAAUGGCAUCAACUAAUAUGAAUUUUAGAAAUGCACAGAGAAGUCAAAGUAUGUUUUCCAUUACAUUUCUGUGACUAAAUUCCAAUAUCUUCAAAACUGAUGAAAAAAUAUUUUCCUUAAAUUUUGAAAGUCAGUUCUCUUCUAAACUAAACUCAUAGAUGAGGAAUUCUGUGGGCAUCCUCUAUACUCCAGAAAUUAGAGUCUAAUGCUAACAUUUUUUUCUUCCAGGAAACUACCCCAUUAUCCUGAAAAAUUGGCACUAUCACCCAAAAUUAUCUUUUCCACUGUAACAACCAGUCUGUAUAGCUCAACUCCCUCUCUCCCUACUAGAAAAACACAUGUGAUUAUAUUGAUCUCACCCAUAUAUUUCAGAAGUUCCAUAGCAUCUCAUAUUCAUAACUUAAAUAUAUCCGAUGUAUCCUUUUCGCUUGACAAUUUCAGUUAAAAAGUUCUAGAGCCUAGUUUUAGAUAGUUAUGAGAAAGUUCAGUGACAUUCAUUAUUCCUGAACUGUUAGCUACUAUUCUCUCUUUAAAAUGCUAUCUUUAUUAAAUCUCAAAAAACUCUGAGGAACUAUUAUUUAAUGAACAGAGUAGGAAUACACACAAAUCUCAAGGUGUAUUUACUCAAUAAGUAUUAGUUAGAGUUUUCUUUUUCUUUUUUUAAAAUAUUUUUAUUAGGUAUUUUCCUCAUUUACAUUUCCAAUGCUAUCCCAAAAGUCCCCCAUACCCUCCCCCUCACGCCCCUACCCACCCACUCCCACAUUUUGGCCCUGGCAUUCCCCUGUACUGGGGCAUAUAAAGUUUGCAAGUCCAAUGGGCCUCUCUUUGCAGUGAUGGCCGACUAGACCAUCUUUUGAUAUAAAUGCAGCUAGAGUCGAGCUCCGGGGUACUGGUAAGUUCAUAAUGUUGUUCCACCUAUAGGGUUGCAGAUCCCUUUAGCUCCUUGGGUACUUUCUCUUUACUAAGAAGUUUUUGAAUGCUUUUAGAAGGAUUUUAGAAUGCUUGCUAGUGUACAAUCAACACAUACUUUCAGAGGAAGCUAUAAUCCAAAGCUAAAACUAUUUAUUACUUCAUGCAAUCUAACCCCCUGAUUUUAUAGAUUUUUAUAAAAGUUGAAAAUUUCUGGAAUUCCCUUCAUAUUUGCACUUAUCAUAAAAGGAGUUGCAGUAUGAAUUUAGU